RNAcentral lists this unclassified non-coding RNA (328 nucleotides) under Cercozoa sp. RNAcentral describes it as "partial contains small subunit ribosomal RNA, internal transcribed spacer 1, and 5.8S ribosomal RNA". The stretch from base 1 to 47 matches the Rfam family "Eukaryotic small subunit ribosomal RNA", at positions 1785 to 1831 of the family's 1831-position model. The record is from RNAcentral. Lineage: Eukaryota; Cercozoa.
AAAGUCGUAACAAGGUUUCCGUAGGUGAACCUGCGGAAGGAUCAUUAACACGUAUCCACGUAUCAACCCCUCUGUGAAACUCUACUUUAGAAAGGUUUGGUCUUAGUGUGUUGCUCGUAUGGGUCCUAAUGAUGGAGGCAGCAAUGCCUAGGGCUCGAGUAGCAUGUGUUUGACGUCCAACCGCCACUUUCCCAUCGUUGGCCCCUUUUUACUUAAACCCCUUGUACUCUUUUGUACUGAACCAAUUCUUCUGACGCUCUUUCACAGAGUGACGGAUAGAUAUUACGAAACUUAAGAACAACUCUUAGCAACGGAUAUCUUGGUUCCC